This 440-nucleotide ribosomal RNA is filed under the name uncultured Enterococcus sp. RNAcentral describes it as "bacterial SSU rRNA". It matches the Rfam family "Bacterial small subunit ribosomal RNA", at positions 459 to 896 of the family's 1533-position model. Lineage: Bacteria; Bacillati; Bacillota; Bacilli; Lactobacillales; Enterococcaceae. The record is from RNAcentral.
CGAAGCGCAAGUGACGGUACCUGCAGAAGAAGCACCGGCUAACUACGUGCCAGCAGCCGCGGUAAUACGUAGGGUGCAAGCGUUGUCCGGAAUUACUGGGCGUAAAGCGAGCGCAGGCGGUUUCUUAAGUCUGAUGUGAAAGCCCCCGGCUCAACCGGGGAGGGUCAUUGGAAACUGGGAGACUUGAGUGCAGAAGAGGAGAGUGGAAUUCCAUGUGUAGCGGUGAAAUGCGUAGAUAUAUGGAGGAACACCAGUGGCGAAGGCGACUCUCUGGUCUGUAACUGACGCUGAGGCUCGAAAGCGUGGGGAGCAAACAGGAUUAGAUACCCCUGGUAGUCCAUGCCGUAAACGAUGAGUGCUAGGUGUUGGAGGGUUUCCGCCCUUCAGUGCCGCAGCUAACGCAUUAAGCACUCCGCCUGGGGAGUACGACCGCAAGGUUG